This 224-nucleotide long non-coding RNA is filed under the name Oryza brachyantha (malo sina). RNAcentral describes it as "long non-coding RNA (OBRA_LNC002080)". Lineage: Eukaryota; Viridiplantae; Streptophyta; Magnoliopsida; Poales; Poaceae. The record is from RNAcentral.
AACCGCCGUUUUGAUUCCCCGUUUUUUUUCUGAUUUGCUCUGACUGAAGGGUGAGGGGUCUUGCAGUUUGUUGCUCCAAGUUGGAAUUGUUAGUACUCGUUGCUGAUUUGCUCUGACUGGUUGUUUGGUUGGACAUGAUGUAUGAAACUUGGAUGCUGUAUGUGCAGCUGUAUGGUUUGAACCUAAUGCAUGAAAAAUUGUGAACUAGUUAUCUAUUGUAUGUG